Molecule: transfer RNA, 61 nt
Filed under: Dichanthelium oligosanthes
Lineage: Eukaryota; Viridiplantae; Streptophyta; Magnoliopsida; Poales; Poaceae
Rfam family: tRNA
About the family: Transfer RNA (tRNA) molecules are approximately 80 nucleotides in length. Their secondary structure includes four short double-helical elements and three loops (D, anti-codon, and T loops). Further hydrogen bonds mediate the characteristic L-shaped molecular structure. tRNAs have two regions of fundamental functional importance: the anti-codon, which is responsible for specific mRNA codon recognition, and the 3' end, to which the tRNAs corresponding amino acid is attached (by aminoacyl-tRNA synthetases). tRNAs cope with the degeneracy of the genetic code in two manners: having more than one tRNA (with a specific anti-codon) for a particular amino acid; and 'wobble' base-pairing, i.e. permitting non-standard base-pairing at the 3rd anti-codon position.
Source: Rfam by way of RNAcentral
GGGCCCAUAGCUCAGUUGUAGAGCAAUUGACUGCAGAUCAAUAGGUCACCGGUUGGGCCCU